Molecule: transfer RNA, 68 nt
Filed under: Lethocerus deyrollei
Lineage: Eukaryota; Metazoa; Arthropoda; Insecta; Hemiptera; Belostomatidae
Description: tRNA-Arg
Source: RNAcentral
AGUAAAGAAGUAAAAAUUACAUUUAGUUUCGACCUAAAAAUAAGGAGAAUUCAUUAAUCCUCUUACUU